This 122-nucleotide microRNA precursor is filed under the name Zea mays. RNAcentral describes it as "miR2275a stem-loop (zma-MIR2275a)". The stretch from base 6 to 112 matches the Rfam family "MIR2275 microRNA precursor family". The record is from miRBase by way of RNAcentral. Lineage: Eukaryota; Viridiplantae; Streptophyta; Magnoliopsida; Poales; Poaceae.
GUCAGGCACUGAAAGUGAGAGUUGGAGGAAAGCAAACCGGCUGGGUAUCGGAUUCAGCAACGGAGGGUGCUGCCGGUCGGUUUGUUUUCCUCCAAUAUCUCACCUUCAGUCGAUAGUCUGAU